This 139-nucleotide ribosomal RNA is filed under the name uncultured bacterium. RNAcentral's name for it is "partial 16S ribosomal RNA". It matches the Rfam family "Bacterial small subunit ribosomal RNA", at positions 355 to 509 of the family's 1533-position model. The record is from RNAcentral.
UCGGGAAUAUUGCGCAAUGGAGGAAACUCUGACGCAGUGACGCCGCGUAUAGGAAGAAGGUUUUCGGAUUAGUAAACUAUUGUCGUUAGGGAAGAGAAAGGACAGUACCUAAGGAGGAAGCUCCGGCUAACUACGUGCC